UCUUAUCCAGAGAGGUGGAGGGACUGGCCCUUUGAAACCUCAGCAACAGACAUCUAAAGUACUGUGCUAAUUCCAGAAGCGUAGAGCUUGAAGAUAAG
Molecule: non-coding RNA, 98 nt
Filed under: Aneurinibacillus aneurinilyticus
Lineage: Bacteria; Bacillati; Bacillota; Bacilli; Caryophanales; Paenibacillaceae
Description: SAM riboswitch (S box leader)
Rfam family: SAM riboswitch aptamer (S box leader)
About the family: The SAM riboswitch is found upstream of a number of genes which code for proteins involved in methionine or cysteine biosynthesis in Gram-positive bacteria.
Source: RNAcentral